This 397-nucleotide ribosomal RNA is filed under the name uncultured bacterium. Its description in RNAcentral is "partial 16S ribosomal RNA". It matches the Rfam family "Bacterial small subunit ribosomal RNA", at positions 355 to 762 of the family's 1533-position model. The record is from RNAcentral.
UGGGGAAUAUUGCACAAUGGGCGAAAGCCUGAUGCAGCAACGCCGCGUGAGGGGACGACGGCCUUCGGUUGUAAACCUCUUUUAGCAAGGAAGAAGCGAAAGUGACGGUACUUGCAGAAAAAGCGACCGGCUAACUACGUGCCAGCAGCCGCGGUAAUACGUAGGGCGCAAGCGUUAUCCGGAAUUAUUGGGCGUAAAGAGCUCGUAGGCGGUUUGUCGCGUCUGCUGUGAAAACCCCGAGGCUCAACCUCGGGCCUGCAGUGGGUACGGGCAGACUAGAGUGCGGUAGGGGAGAUUGGAACUCCUGGUGUAGCGGUGGAAUGCGCAGAUAUCAGGAAGAACACCGAUGGCGAAGGCAGAUCUCUGGGCCGUAACUGACGCUGAGGAGCGAAAGGGU